Molecule: long non-coding RNA, 1141 nt
Organism: Hippocampus zosterae (dwarf seahorse)
Lineage: Eukaryota; Metazoa; Chordata; Actinopteri; Syngnathiformes; Syngnathidae
Exons: 2
Source: RefSeq, a predicted model, not a curated record
GGAAUCCACCUCGGGGCGCUCGUCCGCGUCCUCGGCCUCCGACUCCUCGCCGUCCUCGUCCUCCUCGCCGCCGCCGUCCUCCUCAUCAUCCUCCUCCUCCUGCUGCUGCUGCUGCUGCUGCUCCUCCUCCCAGCAGGGGCUCAUCCCGAAGGGGGCCGCCAGGCCAGUCUGAGAGGCAAGACUCCUGCUGGGCGGAACAACCACACAUUCAACAACACCGGCAGCACAACCGAGCCACCAACAAACAGCAAUUCAUCCCACCAGAACGCCAGACCGCCGAAGUAAGCUUCAGACAGAAUUCCGGUUUUGGAACCCCUUUAAUGCAGACAAAAAACAAAGACGGCAAUUUACCAUUCCAACGAUUCCGAGCGCAGCCGUUCACCAAUCGUCGCUACAAAGGGAUUGGCAGUCGCCAUUUUGCGGGAGCUGUACAGGUGCACUCGAGAAAAUUCCCCCUUUGGGCUCCAUCGCCAAUGUUCAUGACUGACAGGACAUGAAACGGCAGCCGCUUGCUGAUGUUGACACGAGAGGCCCACGUGACCGCCGCUGGAGUAGUCGGCGCUUCAAAAACUGGUGCAACCGGUUUCCGACGCUCAGGGAACCACAAAGGGCCACUUCCGGAUUUUUGACAGAGUUAAAAAGGAUUAUUCGGUCCACCCCUACUGGUGUUUAAACACUUUUCCGAACCCUCAAACGACUUUUUAGCAACAUUUUUACGCCUCAACAGUUUUUACCAUGAAACCACGACUGGAUCUUUCAUCCACAGCCCUCCCAUCAAAGGGCGACUGUCUUUUCCCUGGCGGAGGCAGCACUUCAUCCAUCAAGCCGAUAACUCGCCCCCUCAAGUAAUGAGGACUUAAAUAAUCGAUUCAUCCUACAAUUACUUUCCCGACAUUAGUAGUUUUUACAAAAUGUAUUUAAACUUCCAUUCCUUCAUUAGAAAACAGGACAUAUUUUCAAACCAACUGUAAUUAUGUUCCCGUUUUUGGUCCGUAACACGUCGGUAAAUAGGCAAAAAAUUUCCAAAGAGAGACCGGCUGCUUUCACAGAGGACUACAGAAAUGGGGAAAUAGUUCCUGUCCAGAGGCAGGUUAAAUCACAGGACAAGUAGUUCAUUAUUUUGAUAAUUGAGUCGUUGUUG